RNAcentral lists this ribosomal RNA (403 nucleotides) under uncultured bacterium. RNAcentral's name for it is "bacterial SSU rRNA". It matches the Rfam family "Bacterial small subunit ribosomal RNA", at positions 355 to 776 of the family's 1533-position model. The record is from RNAcentral.
UGAGGAAUUUUGCGCAAUGGAGGAAACUCUGACGCAGCGACGCCUCGUGAACGAUGAAGUCUUUCGGGAUGUAAAGUUCUGUCAGUGGGGAAGAUAAUGACGGUACCCACAGAGGAAGCACCGGCUAACUACGUGCCAGCAGCCGCGGUAAUACGUAGGGUGCAAGCGUUAUCCGGAAUUAUUGGGCGUAAAGGGAGCGUAGGCGGUUGAAUAAGUAAGGUGUGAAAGCUAUGGGCUCAACCCAUAGUUGCGCCUUAAACUGUUCGGCUAGAGGAUGUAAGAGGAAAGCGGAACUCAUGGUGUAGCGGUGAAAUGCGUAGAUAUCAUGAGGAACACCAGUAGCGAAGGCGGCUUUCUGGGACAUUCCUGACGCUGAGGCUCGAAAGCGUGGGUAGCAAACAGG